Molecule: non-coding RNA, 114 nt
Filed under: Pacificimonas flava
Lineage: Bacteria; Pseudomonadati; Pseudomonadota; Alphaproteobacteria; Sphingomonadales; Sphingosinicellaceae
Description: TPP riboswitch aptamer (THI element)
Rfam family: TPP riboswitch aptamer (THI element)
About the family: Vitamin B(1) in its active form thiamin pyrophosphate (TPP) is an essential coenzyme that is synthesised by coupling of pyrimidine and thiazole moieties in bacteria. The previously detected thiamin-regulatory element, thi box was extended, resulting in a new, highly conserved RNA secondary structure, the THI element, which is widely distributed in eubacteria and also occurs in some archaea. Analysis of operon structures identified a large number of new candidate thiamin-regulated genes, mostly transporters, in various prokaryotic organisms.
Source: Rfam by way of RNAcentral
UAUCGUUCCCAGGGGUGCCCGCGCCAAGGCGGGCUGAGAUGGUCGUGACAGCCGGCCGAACCCUUCGAACCUGACCCGGGUCGUGCCGGCGUAGGGAAGGAACCAGUGCCGCGC